UGCAGCUUGGUAUAGUGGUUUGAAUAUUGGACUAUGACUUUGGAGACCAGGGUUCAAAUCCCUGCUCUGCCA
This is a non-coding RNA of Phrynosoma platyrhinos (Desert horned lizard), 72 nucleotides long. The record is from the annotation of a GenBank genome assembly. Lineage: Eukaryota; Metazoa; Chordata; Lepidosauria; Squamata; Phrynosomatidae.